Non-coding RNA from Cricetulus griseus (Chinese hamster), 1371 nucleotides. NCBI's taxonomy places the organism in Eukaryota, Metazoa, Chordata, Mammalia, Rodentia, Cricetidae. The record is from RefSeq and is a predicted model, not a curated record.
UCUCCCUGAUGCACUUAUCUGAACUUACCAAAAAAGUGUGUCCCAAGACAUUCUAGAGUAAAACAAUGGAAACGCUAAAACAGGCUACAACUCAGGUGUUUAAAGUCAUCCCAAUACUUGACUUCUUUGCAAGGGCCCCAUGUCCCUUCAUAGCUCAAUUAUUUUCUUUGUUUUACUGCUAGAAAUAAGUUGUCAUAAGAUAUUUUACAGUGUGGGUUAUAGGAUGUUAUUAAGACAUGUUAUUGAGGCUGUGAGGAUGGCUCAGUGGGCAAAGCCUGAUGAGCCAAGGUCAGAGCUCAGAGCCCACACUAGAGCCAUGCAUUGUUAGAUGAGUACAGAUCUUGUGAACUUGCAUGUGUCAGUAGGUUUUGGUCUCUGGAUCUCUGGAAGUUCAGUGGCCAGCUAUCCUGGUAUGCAGAGCAGUGAACAAGAGACCCUGUCUCAAACAAGGUGGAAGAUUGUUAAGACCGGAUAUGGACUUGCUAUUUUGUUCUUCUAUGACCUCUCACACUUGCAAUUGCACAGCCUCAGUGGGUCAGCAGUGUAGAGAACCUUACACUACUGUAUAAGACACAUCUGCAACAGAGUUAAGCCAUGAAGAAGGAUGCCAGUUUGCUUACGCUGUCAAGGAACACACAAUUAGAAAGACCCGAAUUUGCACCAUCUUCUUUCAUAUUCUCUACACAAGAUAAUAUCAGAAGUGCUGUUUCAAGGUUAGAGAAUCACUGUGGACUUUGUGGCAAGACGGAAGUGUGGACUCACUGAUGUCAUGUUGGUAGGACUUGUCCCCAGCUUCCUUUAUGACUCAUAGGGAAUUCGUGUUGCAUCAGUAUGUCUAAACUCCACUUUGACUUCAUUUUGUCCUCACUUUGUGCAAUAGCUUAUGAUGUUUAUUAGAUGACUUUGUGGUUUUUAUGGUUCUAAAGUUCUCUCUUUAAAACGUCAAAUGUCCUGAUUCACUAAGUAAAACUACGUUCAUUUGUUAAGAAAGGCACCAUCAUAGGUAAAAAUCUAAAGAAAAAUGUUGUUUUAAAAGCAUUAUUUUCUUUUUCAUUCUCUGUGUCCAUGGCCCCCCUUCCACCAUUCUCUACAUUCCUUUCGAUGGCUAACUUUAUCACAUACUAUGACAUAGGACAGAAAAGUGGGAGUUGGGAUUUUCCAUUCAUAUGUGGGCCUUUUCCAUCUGCAAGCUGCUGGCCUCAGAAAUCACCACCAUCAUUACAAAUACCAUUAUUACCAAAAUUAAACUGGAGUUGUGUAUUCUUGGGGGCUUAAGAAGGUCUCAUUGUAAUUUCUACUUCUAGGUGUGUUACACAUUAACAUAUAUUCUGUCCUUUACCUUGAAGGAAUUCUUUCCUUUUGCACGACAUG